This is a non-coding RNA of Paramuricea clavata, 324 nucleotides long. Lineage: Eukaryota; Metazoa; Cnidaria; Anthozoa; Malacalcyonacea; Plexauridae. The record is from the annotation of a GenBank genome assembly.
AUUGUUCGAUAUUCAAUGCCCUAGCACUAAGUUAAUCCCACGAGUGCAUAAAAGAUUGACAUAACUGCUAUAAUGAAUGGUAAUACUCAGCGUAAACUUGUUAUGUCAGGCAUAAAGUACUAAACCCACGAAUGCAUAUUACGCAUAUUACAAUUUACGAAGCAUUUUUAAAUUCCCAUGAGCAAACAAACGUUCGCUUUACAAAGAUAUUUUAAUUUUUUAAAACAAAUUAAUCACCCUGUCAAAAUCCUUUGUGUUACGGCAUUGAAAUUCGAACAAUACGUUAUUUCAAUGAUUUUGGGUUUUUUUGAGACACCCUGUAUA